AAUGGGUUCAAAGGAAUAUUUUAAAUAUAUACAAAAACGUACAAGGUGCAUACAGAAAUAUAUGUGUACUGAAGGAACAAACUCAAUCAAAACCAACAAAAGAAAUGAAAGUAAAACAAAAAAAAUAAGAAAGAAAAGAACCCAAAUUAUAAAGAAUAAAAAAAACGAAAAACCAUAAAUCCAUUGUAAAAACAAAGCAUAAAUAAGAAUUAACAAAAUAAAAAAAUGAAGAAAAAAGUAAAACAACCUAGGAAAAACGAAAGAAAAGGAAAAAAGGAAUAAAAAGAAAACAAAGUAAGCAUACCGAACAGACCGAAAUCAUCGACCGAAUAAGGAAGAGGGAAUGCAGCGAACGACAACAAUUAAAUGGGCCAGCCCAUACGAGAUUUCUAAUAGAAUUCUGUACGAGGGAGAUAUAGCCCGAAA
Molecule: long non-coding RNA, 426 nt
Filed under: Hordeum vulgare
Lineage: Eukaryota; Viridiplantae; Streptophyta; Magnoliopsida; Poales; Poaceae
Description: long non-coding RNA (HVUL_LNC000369)
Source: RNAcentral